This is a long non-coding RNA of Xiphophorus hellerii (green swordtail), 357 nucleotides long. RefSeq lists it as uncharacterized. The transcript is spliced from 2 exons. The record is from RefSeq and is a predicted model, not a curated record. NCBI's taxonomy places the organism in Eukaryota, Metazoa, Chordata, Actinopteri, Cyprinodontiformes, Poeciliidae.
AAUGUGAGGUAGAAUCGGUCUGUUAAUUAUGUAAUAUUUUUUCACAUAGGAUGCUCAGACAGCAGAGGAAGGGGCAGAGCAGAACGAUGGAGAGGUGGCUGGAGCUUCAGGGCUCCAGGAGGCAGUCAGUGUGAGUGCCAGUGACCAGGGAAGUCAAGGCAGCAGUGCCCUGGACAUGGGGAGUGCGCCAUACCAGCCUGAUGUAAAAUUCAUUGCAGCACAGCAGCUGCCCAAUAAAAGGUUGCUGUUUCAGGCCAAAUGGUUUAGCCUCUUCCCAUGGCUGCAUUAUAGCCCCACCAUGCAAAAAGUUCUUUGUUUUGAGUGUGUCAAAGCCUUUACCAUCAAAACGACCUCCUU